CCUACGGGUGGCUGCAGUGAGGAAUAUUGGUCAAUGGUCGCGAGCCUGAACCAGCCAAGUCGCGUGAAGGAGGACUGUCCAGCGUGUCGUAAACCUCUUUUGUCAGGGAAUAAAGUCUGGCACGUGUCCCCUUUUGAGUGUACUUUAUGAAUAAGCAUCGGCUAACUCCGUGCCAGCAGCCGCGGUAAUACGGAGGAUUCGAGCGUUAUCCGGAUUUAUUGGGUUUAAAGGGAGGGUAGAUGGGUUGUUAAGUCAGGGGUGAAAGGUGGGGGCUCAACCGCAGAAUUGCAAUUGAUACUGGCAGUCUGGAGUUGAGGAGAGGUAGGCGGAAUGCGCGGUGUAGCGGUGAAAUGCAUAGAUAUCACGCAGAACUCCGAUUGCGAAGGCAGCAUACUAAAUUGACACUGACACUGAGGCACGAAAGCGUGGGUAUCAAACAGGAUUAGAUACCCGAGUAGUC
Molecule: ribosomal RNA, 460 nt
Filed under: uncultured bacterium
Lineage: Bacteria
Description: partial 16S ribosomal RNA
Rfam family: Bacterial small subunit ribosomal RNA
Source: RNAcentral